CAUGCAAGUCGAACGGUGCAGCAAUGCACAGUGGCGCAAGGGUGAGGAACGCGUGAGUAACCUGCCCUUAAGUUGGGAAUAGCUCCUGGAAACGGGAAUUAAUACCGAAUGUGAUCGUCGGGAGACAUCUCUUGAUGAUUAAAGGCCGCAAGGUCGCUUAAGGAGGGGCUCGCGUCCCAUUAGCUAGUUGGUGAGGUAACGGCCCACCAAGGCGAAGAUGGGUAGCUGGUCUGAGAGGACGAUCAGCCACACUGGGACUGAGAUACUGCCCAGACUCCUACGGGAGGCUGCAGUCGAGAAUUUUGGGCAAUGGGGGCAACCCUGACCCAGCAAUGCCGCGUGCGGGAUGAAGGUCUUCGGAUUGUAAACCGCUGUCAAGAGGGACGAAUGCAAUUGACGGUACCUCUGGAGGAAGUCACGGCUAACUACGUGCCAGCAGCCGCGGUAAUACGUAGGUGACAAGCGUUGUUCGGAUUCAUUGGGCGUAAAGGGUCCGCAGGUGGUUUGAUAAGUCUGACGUGAAAUACCGGAGCUCAACUCCGGAACUGCGUUGGAGACUGUUGAACUGGAGUAUCGGAGAGGAAAUUGGAAUUCCAGGUGUAGCGGUGGAAUGCGUAGAUAUCUGGAAGAACAUCGACAGCGAAGGCAGAUUUCUGGACGAUAACAGACACUCAGGGACGAAAGCAUGGGGAGCAAACAGGAUUAGAUACCCUGGUAGUCCAUGCCCUAAACGUUGUAAACUUGAUAUGGGGAGAUUUACUCCUUUCCGUGUCGAAGCUAACGCGAUAAGUUUACCGCCUGGGAACUACGGCCGCAAGGCUACAACUCAAAGGAAUUGAAGGA
RNAcentral lists this ribosomal RNA (843 nucleotides) under uncultured organism. RNAcentral's name for it is "bacterial SSU rRNA". It matches the Rfam family "Bacterial small subunit ribosomal RNA", at positions 54 to 917 of the family's 1533-position model. The record is from RNAcentral.